UGUAGAUGGUUCUCGACUGUGC
RNAcentral lists this non-coding RNA (22 nucleotides) under Rattus norvegicus (Norway rat). The record is from RNAcentral. Lineage: Eukaryota; Metazoa; Chordata; Mammalia; Rodentia; Muridae.